Molecule: ribosomal RNA, 70 nt
Filed under: Vibrio parahaemolyticus
Lineage: Bacteria; Pseudomonadati; Pseudomonadota; Gammaproteobacteria; Vibrionales; Vibrionaceae
Description: partial 23S ribosomal RNA
Source: RNAcentral
UGCUGUGAGGCAUUGAGCUAACUGAUACUAAUUGCCCGUGAGGCUUAACCAUACAACACCCAAGGGGUUU